GCUGGGCAUGGUGGCACAUGCCUGUAAUCCCAGCUACUCAGGAGGCUGAGGCAGGAGAAUUGCUUGAACCUGGGAGGCGGAGGUUGCAGUGAGCCGAGAUCGUGCCACUGCACUCCAGCCUGGUGACAGAGCGGGACUCUGUUUCAAAAAAAAAAAAAAAAAAACUUUUUUAAGACAGAGCUUUGCUUUAUUGCCCAUUCUGGAGUGCAGUGGCGCAAUCUCAGCUCACUGCAGCCUCCACCUCUCAAGUUCAAGCAAUGCUCCUGCCUCAG
This 272-nucleotide signal recognition particle RNA is filed under the name Callithrix jacchus (white-tufted-ear marmoset). RNAcentral describes it as "Metazoan signal recognition particle RNA (ENSCJAG00000075204.1)". It matches the Rfam family "Metazoan signal recognition particle RNA". From Rfam's summary of the family: The signal recognition particle (SRP) is a universally conserved ribonucleoprotein. It is involved in the co-translational targeting of proteins to membranes. Lineage: Eukaryota; Metazoa; Chordata; Mammalia; Primates; Cebidae. The record is from Rfam by way of RNAcentral.